AGGGUCAAGGCUCCCCCUCUGAGGUGCGGCGGUGGGAGCAUAUAGGGUCGGGGUGUAGCGGUGGGUGCAGGUCACCGGGAUCGGGAUCCUCAUCCUCCAUCCCGACCAGACCCAGCAGGGCCACAGCCCCUGGACACCUUGCUCUGCACAGGUGACAUCCCUGCCAGAGCAUAGGGAGCGCUGGGACAUAGCUUGCAGGGCUGGAGCCACAGGAGGAGGCAGGGGCAGCUAUGCUCAGUGAAGGGAUGCAGGAAAUGGAGGUCAUCAGCACGAUGCUGCUGAAAGUAAUGGCAUCUGGGCGUGUGGAGGCCCAACUGCACCACAGCCUUGAGCAACAGGAGCGGGUGCUGGAUGAACUCCUGGACACGCAGGCCACUGCUGCCCAGCUUGUGAGAGACCUCAUGGGCACGGAGGAGAAAGUAGCCCAUCAGCUUCUGGCCAAAGAAGAGGAGUUGCAGCACUGCCUCCAGCGGGUCCAGGCUCUGGAAGCCGAUGCACAGGCAGCCACUGAGGAGGGCACAAGGCUGCAAGCCAGCAUGGCAUAUCCUUCCCUGGUGGGGUGCAGGUGGGGCCCUAUGGGUUGUGGGGAAGGGCCCAGCCACAGAGGAGGCUCCUUCACUGCCUGGCACAGCACUGUGCAUGGAGCUGGAGCAGCUGCGGGAGGAGAUGCAGCGCCUGGACCAGGAUGUGCAGGAGGAUGCCAGUGCUGUCCCACCAGCUACGUACACAGCCCAGCUGUACUAUAAGAUCAGCCGCAUCGACUGGGACUAUGAGUGUGGCCCUGUGCAGGUUAAGGGCAUUCAUUACGGUCCAGCCAUCGCACAGCCUAUCAGUAUUGACAGCAGCCAGCACUCGCGCAGCUUCGUCGCUGACUACCUGUGGAGCCUGGUGGACACAGCCUGGGCUGGGACGGGUGUGGGGAGGGCUGGGGGUCACAGUGCCCCCCAAGGGUUACCCCUUGCCAGUGCAAGUGGCUCAGGCUAAUUGCAAAGGGGUUUAUUGGUGUCAUGGUGAAAAUCAGAUCAUUAAACAGCCAGGUCCAGUC
This is an RNA transcript of Alligator mississippiensis (American alligator), 1045 nucleotides long. It is a transcript of the gene named SPC24 component of NDC80 kinetochore complex, with no coding region annotated. Lineage: Eukaryota; Metazoa; Chordata; Crocodylia; Alligatoridae. The transcript has 6 exons. The record is from RefSeq and is a predicted model, not a curated record.